Molecule: ribosomal RNA, 284 nt
Filed under: Bacillus cereus
Lineage: Bacteria; Bacillati; Bacillota; Bacilli; Caryophanales; Bacillaceae
Description: partial 16S ribosomal RNA
Rfam family: Bacterial small subunit ribosomal RNA
Source: RNAcentral
GCGUAAGCGCGCGCAGGUGGUUUCUUAAGUCUGAUGUGAAAGCCCACGGCUCAACCGUGGAGGGUCAUUGGAAACUGGGAGACUUGAGUGCAGAAGAGGAAAGUGGAAUUCCAUGUGUAGCGGUGAAAUGCGUAGAGAUAUGGAGGAACACCAGUGGCGAAGGCGACUUUCUGGUCUGUAACUGACACUGAGGCGCGAAAGCGUGGGGAGCAAACACGAUUACAUACCCUGGUAGUCCACGCCGUAAACGAUGAGUGCUCACUGUUAGAGGGUUUCCGCCCUUU